RNAcentral lists this ribosomal RNA (253 nucleotides) under uncultured bacterium. Its description in RNAcentral is "partial 16S ribosomal RNA". It matches the Rfam family "Bacterial small subunit ribosomal RNA", at positions 524 to 776 of the family's 1533-position model. The record is from RNAcentral.
UACGUAGGGGGCUAGCGUUGUCCGGAAUCAUUGGGCGUAAAGCGCGUGUAGGCGGUCCGGUAAGUCCGCUGUGAAAGUCGAGGGCUCAACCCUCGAAUGCCGGUGGAUACUGUCGGGCUUGAGUACGGGAGAGGCGAGUGGAAUUCCUGGUGUAGCGGUGAAAUGCGCAGAUAUCAGGAGGAACACCGGUGGCGAAGGCGGGUCUCUGGGCAGCAACUGACGCUGAGGAGCGAAAGCGUGGGGAGCGAACAGG